CGACUCUCGGCAAUGGAUAUCUCGGCUCUCGCAUCGAUGAAGAGCGCAGCGAAAUGCGAUACGUGGUGCGAAUUGCAGAAUCCCGCGAACCAUC
This 94-nucleotide ribosomal RNA is filed under the name Polystachya sp. MG-2013. Its description in RNAcentral is "5.8S ribosomal RNA". It matches the Rfam family "5.8S ribosomal RNA", at positions 1 to 93 of the family's 154-position model. From Rfam's summary of the family: 5.8S ribosomal RNA (5.8S rRNA) is a component of the large subunit of the eukaryotic ribosome. It is transcribed by RNA polymerase I as part of the 45S precursor that also contains 18S and 28S rRNA. The record is from RNAcentral. Lineage: Eukaryota; Viridiplantae; Streptophyta; Magnoliopsida; Asparagales; Orchidaceae.